GUUUAGUAGAAUGUUCUUUAACCUCCAUGUAUUUGGGGGCUUUCCAAAUUUUUUCUUGCGGUUGAUUUCAAGUUUCAUAGCAUUGUGAUCUGAAAAUAUGCAUGGUAUGAUCUCAGUCUUUUUGUACUUGUUGAGGGCUGUUUUGUGACUAGUAUGUGAUCUCUUUUGGAGAAUGUUCCAUGGGCACUCAAGAAGAAUGUGUAUUCUGCUGCUUUAGGAUGAAAAGUUCUACAUAUAUCUGUUAUGUCCAUUUGGCCCAAUGUGUCAUGCAGAGCCAUUGUUUCCUUAUUGAUUUUCUGCCUAGAUGAUCUGUCCAUUGUUGUAAGUGGAAUAUUAAAAUCACCCACAGUGAUGGGCAUUGAGGAGGGCACUUGUUGGGAUGAACACUGGGUGUUGUAUGGAAACCAAUUUGACAGUAAAUUAUAUUAAAAAAUAAAAUUAAAUUAAAAUCACCCACAAUUAUGGUAUUAUUAUCAAUAAGUUUGUUUAUGUUUGUGAUUAAUUGAUUUAUAUAUUUGGGUGCUUCACAUUGGGGGUAUAAACAUUUACAGUUGUUAGCUCUUCUUGAUGGAUAGACCCCUUAAUUAUGAUAUAAUGCCCUUCUUCAUUUCUUGUUACAGUUUUUCUUUUAAAAUCUAGUUUGCCUGAUAUAAGUAUGGCUACUCCAGCUUUCUUUUGACUUCCAGUAGCAUGAUAGAUGGUUCUCCAUCCCCUCGCUUUCAAUCUGAAGGUGUCCUGUGGUCUAAAAUGAGUCUCUUGGUGCAUUUAGUCCAUUUAAAUUCAGAGUGAUUAUUAAAGAUAUGAAUUUAGUGCCAUUGUGUUAUCUGUAGAUUUCAUGUUUGUGGUGAUAUCUCUGGUCCUUUGUAGUCUUUGCUGCUUUCCACUCACAGAGUCCCCCUUAGGAUCUCCUGCAGGGCUGGUUUAGUGGUCAUGAACUCCUUUAGGUUCUGUUUAUCUGGGAAAGCCUUUAUCUCUUCUUCUUCUAUUCUGAAUGACAACCUUGCUGGAUAAAGGAUUCUUGGCUGCAUAUUUUCCUAUUCAGCACAUGGAAUAUUUCCUGCCACUCCUUUCUGGCCUGCCCAGUUUCAGUGGACAGGUCUGCUACUACCCUUAUGUGUCUUCCCUUGUAGGUUAAGGACCAUUUGUCCCUAGCUGCUUUCAUAAUUCUCUCUUUAUCUUUGUGUUUUGCCAGUUUAACUGUGAUAUGCCAUGGUGUUGACCUGUUUUUGUUGAUUUUGAGGGGAGUUCUCUGUGCCUCUUGGACUUGGAUGACUAUUUCCUUCCCCUCGCUCUUCUUCUUCUAGAACUCCUAUGAUACAGAUAUUGUUUCAUUUUAUGCAAUCCCUUAGCUCUCUAAUUCUUCCCUCAUGAUCUAGUAAUAUCAUUUCCCUCUUUUUUUUUCAGCUUCAUCAUUUUCCAUAAUUUUAUUUUCUAUUUUACCUAUUCUCCUCUGUUUCUUCCAUCCUUGCUGUCACUGUAUCUAGUUUAUUUUGCAUGUCAUUUAUAGCAUUUCUUAAUUCAUUGUAACUAGUUCUUAGGUCUUUUAUCUCUGCAUCAAGAGAUUCUCUGCUGUCUUCUAUGCUUUUUUUUUAAAGCCCAGCUAUUAGUCUUAUGACUGUUAUUCUAAAUUCUUGUUCAGAUAUAUUGUUUAUAUCUGUUUUGAGCAAUUCUCUGGCUGUGAUUUCUUCCUUAAUUUCUUUUGGGGAAAAUUCUUCUGUUUUGUCAUUUUGGUUAAGUAUCUGUCUUUGGCGUGUUUUAAUAGCUUGUUAUAUGACCUGCACCUGUGAGUACUAGGAUAUUAAAAAGGGGUCAUACACUGUCCAGGGCCUGGCACUUCAGAAAGUGUCCUGCACCUCGAUCCUGCAAAGCUGUCUCCUUCUAGCUGUGGAGAUCCUUUUGCUACUCUGCAGAUUGCAUGCACUCUGCUGUUGCAUUUUGGUUGCUCUAUUCCACUUGUCAGUCCUCUACAAAGCUCUUCCUUGCUUGUAGUGGUGGAAUGUUUGGGCCUUCAACCAGGUGUGCUGUGAUUUGUUUGUUGAAAUAACCCUGGAAAAAAAGGAAAAGGUGGGGGAAGACUGAUCCCAUAAAAAGAGAAAAAUGAAAGGGUAGAAAAGGAGACCAAAUAGAGAAUCAAAAACUAUAAAGCUAAAUCCAGAGAAAGAGAAAGGAAAAUAAAGAUAAAGAGAUAGAAAAGGCGUAGGGAAGUCGGGCCUGUUUUUUGUGGUGCCUCAGAGGCGGCAGGCUGCUUCAGGAUGAAACUGAACAUCUCUUUCCCAGCUACUGGCUGCCAGAAACUCAUUGAAGUGGAUGACGAAUGGAAACUUUGUACCAUUUUUGAGAAGCGGAAUGGCCACAGAAGUUGCUGCUGAUGAACAAGGUGAAGAAUGGAAGGGUUACCUGGUCUGAAUCGGUGGUGGCAGUGACACACAAGGCUUCCCCAUGAAGAAGGUGUCUUGACCCAUGGCCAUGUCUGCGUGCUGCUGAGUAAGGGGCAUUCCUGCUACUGACUAAGGAGGACGGUAGAAAGAAAGUGCAAAUCUGUUCAGGGUUGCAUUGUGGUUGCCAAUCUCAGUGUUCUCAACCGGGUCUUCGUGAAGAAAGGGAAGAAGGGUAUUUCUGGACUCACUGAUACUACUGUGCCUCAUCACCUGGGGCCCAAAAGAGCUAGCAAAAUCUGCAAACUUUACAGUCUCUCAAAGGAAGAUGAUGUCCACCAGUCUGUUGUGAGAAAGCCCCUUAACAGAGAAGGAGGAAGACCUCAGAGAUAAAGUGCUAUUCUCAUCAUGGGUACACACUGUCGACAUGACUCAUUACUGGGUGCUGCCCUUGAUCUCCAGGCUGAGGUCUGGAGCCUGGAAAUCCAAGAUGAGGGUGCCACCGUGGUUGAGUGAGGGCUUCCUCCAGUCACCGACUCUUGUGUCUUAUUGUAUCCUUCUGCAUGAUGGAAGGGGCAGGCAAGUUCUCUGGGACCUCUAUUGUAAGUGCACUAAUCCCAUUAAUGAGGACUCUACCUCAUGACUUAAUGCCUCCCAAAGGCUCCACCUCCUAAUACCAUCAAAUUGGGGGUUAGGAUUUCAACAUACAAAUUGGGGGGGGGGGGACACAAACAUUCAGACCAUAGCAAUCACUGUGUGCAGCCCACACUUAAGCUAUGGGGAGGUGUGCUCUACUUUCUUGAGAUUCAAGUAUGUACACAAAUUAUUUGGAAUUUUUCUGUGUGGGAGAUUUAUCUAUUUGCUUA
Acinonyx jubatus (cheetah) is the source of this 3241-nucleotide long non-coding RNA. RefSeq lists it as uncharacterized. The record is from RefSeq and is a predicted model, not a curated record. NCBI's taxonomy places the organism in Eukaryota, Metazoa, Chordata, Mammalia, Carnivora, Felidae. The transcript is spliced from 3 exons.